RNAcentral lists this ribosomal RNA (253 nucleotides) under uncultured bacterium. RNAcentral describes it as "partial 16S ribosomal RNA". It matches the Rfam family "Bacterial small subunit ribosomal RNA", at positions 524 to 776 of the family's 1533-position model. The record is from RNAcentral.
UACGUAGGGUGCGAGCGUUAAUCGGAAUUACUGGGCGUAAAGCGUGCGCAGGCGGCUUCGCAAGUCAGGCGUGAAAUCCCCGGGCUUAACCUGGGAAUGGCGUCUGAAACUACGGAGCUGGAGUGUGGCAGAGGGAGGUAGAAUUCCACGUGUAGCGGUGAAAUGCGUAGAUAUGUGGAGGAAUACCGGUGGCGAAGGCGGCAUCCUGGACCGGCAUUGACGCUGAGGAGCGAAAGCCAGGGGAGCAAACGGG